CAAAGAACAAGGCAGGGUGCCAAUUUCCACACUAUCAAGUACUACAAGGAAAUGUCUAAAAGGCUGGAGUGCAAUGAUGCAAUUUCAACUCACCACAAUGUCCACCUUCUGGGUUCAAGCGAUUCUCCUGCCUCAGCCUCCCCAGUAGCUGGGAUUACAGACUGAUUGAGUAGCUACCAUGUCACAGAUGAAGAUGACUGUGGCUUAUCCAGUUUUCAUAUCAGCAAGGCUGACACAGUUCUGCAGGACAGGGACAGUAUGUUUAGUUUACUCCACUUGCUAUUAGGUGCGUGCCACUGAGACUUACUUCAUGAGUGUUACUUGAUGAAUCAGGCAUUGAUAUUUAUUUCUUAAUUGUGUAUCCAAGAUUCCUAUUAAAUAGCCAAGAGCUUUGAA
Molecule: long non-coding RNA, 396 nt
Filed under: Callithrix jacchus (white-tufted-ear marmoset)
Lineage: Eukaryota; Metazoa; Chordata; Mammalia; Primates; Cebidae
Description: lncRNA (ENSCJAG00000072155.1)
Source: RNAcentral